RNAcentral lists this ribosomal RNA (128 nucleotides) under uncultured eukaryote. RNAcentral describes it as "partial small subunit ribosomal RNA". It matches the Rfam family "Eukaryotic small subunit ribosomal RNA", at positions 1651 to 1777 of the family's 1831-position model. The record is from RNAcentral.
CCCUGCCAUUUGUACACACCGCCCGUCGCUACUACCGAUUGAAUGGCUUAGUGAGCCUUUGGGAUUGGCAGCUUGUACCGGCAACGGUAGCAGGCCGCUGAAAACUUAGGCAAACUUGGUCAUUUAGA